AGAAAACAAUCCUAAGACUUUAUAGAGUUAUAUUCCAAUAGCUUUAAAAUACUCAAAAAUAUUUUUACUAACUGCAAUUUAAUAUUUCCGAACAUUUCUUAAUAUUUUUUUCUGCAUGUAUAAAAGGAGGUAAGCCCAAAAAAACAAAGCUAAACCAAGCAAAAAUGGAAAGAGGUAGGUGUAAUGAGCAACAAUAGGAGGAUUAAUUAAGACCGAAAAUGACAUUGCACAAUUUCAAUGCCAAUAAAACUUUGAACAGAAAAAAAUUAACUUUAAAAUUUCGAAUUAAAAUGUGCACUGAAAUUUAUGCGUGUGUUUUUAUGGACAUACCACUAAGUCACCUGAAAAUUCCUGUGAGCAAGCUAGUCAUGUUAUUAUAAAAACAUUAAUUUUUUUACUACAUUCUACUUUUUCUUCAAUAUAUCUUUAAAAUGUACGACAUUUCUCCCAGUGCAGCCACAAAGCUACCAAUCACAAGCGACGUAGAGGAAAGUAAAAGUCGCCACAAAACCCACAGAAAUAAUGAAAAGAACAAACCGCCAAAUUGAAAUCAUACUCGGCAAAAACAAACUACAAGAGAGCAGCUAAUGAUGGCCACAAGCAAAGUGGCCAAGAGAGAUAUUGGCCAAAAUAUUGAGUUAAAAACGGGAGAACUGGAGGGAUUUCUCACCCUUCUCUCAGUGUACAAAACAAAUCAAUUUGAACGCCAGUGCCAAGAAGACAAGCAAAAAACCGAGAAGUGGAAAACAAAGAGAAAUCCAAAAGAUUGUAGGCGGUUUUAUAUAUUAAUGUUAUGUGCUCAAGGUAGCAGCCGCAAACAAAUUUGAUUUGAUACGCCAGCGAUUUAUAGUUUCGCGAGCCCAUAAACAUGCAAAUUCCCUCGCACUCACUUUGAUAAAUUGUCAAUAAUAAUUACACUAGCAAUUAUGAUGUGGAUGAGAGCCUGUUCAUUUCUGUAGUCACACAUGGCGUAUACGCAACGGCCAAAGGGAGGGCACAGAUUUAGUCACUUGAAGCCAUGGAUGCAAUGCUCUCGUUAGUGAGAACUCAAGGUGUCCAAAGUGUCCAAGGUGUCCGCGAGAACCCUCGAAGUCGCCUAGUUGGGAUUCUCACUGUGGCAGUUGCAUUGCGAGUGGGUGGUUCUGGGCGGUGGUCGGAACCUUGAGGCAACGCUGGUGGCACGGAACAGUUUAAGUAUGCCAAUUUGUGCAUCGCCUGGAGGCGAAAAGCCUCUCAAGAGAGUCUAAUGCCGACGACAAUUGGCUGCAUCUGGGAAAGCCGAUUCCUACUCUCAGUUCGUGUCAUUUCAAAUUGCAUCUCUCGGGAACAACGCUACGUGGCACUUGAUUUCCCACUGAGUGCUCUGUGAAGGAAUUUCACAUUUGUCAUUAGCAAACUCAUAGAUUUCGCAUUGAAUAUACAACUUGUAUCUGUCAUUAGAAAUAUUUAGUUAAUUAGCACAUAAGGAUAUACCCCACUUCCAGCGCAAAAGAGGUCCUUUCCAAGUUUUUUGUAAAUAUCACUACAAACUUACUCUUACUUUUUAGUUAUUUUAACUACUUUUUCAGUCCUUUUAAUUUUAGAAUGUGCAUGUUCAUAAAUAAGAGUCACUGUACUUUGCGUAAAUAUUCGCUCUGAAGAAAUUAAUUAUGUAUAAUGUGUACAUUUAAAAUUCUCUCGUUUUCCCUUUCCUUUUGUAGUUGUGGCUCCUUGGCACUUUAAAUUCCUUGAAGAGCCCCAAGCACCCAAGAACUCAUUAAAUGCGGGCCAAACAAAACAUUGGCCAUAACUUUCUAUCGCUUCA
This is a long non-coding RNA of Drosophila sechellia, 1804 nucleotides long. RefSeq lists it as uncharacterized. The transcript is spliced from 2 exons. The record is from RefSeq and is a predicted model, not a curated record. Lineage: Eukaryota; Metazoa; Arthropoda; Insecta; Diptera; Drosophilidae.